GAUGAAGAACGUAGCGAAAUGCGAUAAGUAAUGCGAAUUGCAGAAUUCAGCGAGUCAUCGAGUCUUUGAACGCACAUUGCGCCCCCUGGUAUUCCGGGGGGCAUGCCUGUCCGAGCGUCAUUGCUGCCCUCAAGCACGGCUUGUGUGUUGGGCCCCGUCCUCCGAUCCCGGGGGACGGGCCCGAAAGGCAGCGGCGGCACCGCGUCCGGUCCUCGAGCGUAUGGGGCUUUGUCACCCGCUCUGUAGGCCCGGCCGGCGCUUGCCGAUCAACCCAAAUUUUUAUCCAGGUUGACCUCGGAUCAGGUAGGGAUACCCGCUGAACUUAAGCAUAUCAAUAAGCGGAGGA
RNAcentral lists this unclassified non-coding RNA (346 nucleotides) under soil metagenome. RNAcentral describes it as "partial contains 5.8S ribosomal RNA, internal transcribed spacer 2, and large subunit ribosomal RNA". The stretch from base 1 to 120 matches the Rfam family "5.8S ribosomal RNA", at positions 35 to 154 of the family's 154-position model. The record is from RNAcentral.